UACGGAGGGUGCAAGCGUUAAUCGGAAUUACUGGGCGUAAAGGGUGCGUAGGCGGCGAUGUAAGUUACUUGUGAAAGUCCUGGGCUUAACCUGGGGUGGACGGGUGAUACUGCAUGGCUUGAGUAUGGGAGAGGGCAGUGGAAUUUCCGGUGUAGCGGUGAAAUGCGUAGAUAUCGGAAGGAACACCGGUGGCGAAGGCGGCUGCCUGGCCCAAUACUGACGCUGAGGCACGAAAGCGUGGGUAGCGAACAGGAUUAGAUACCCUGGUAGUCCACGCUGUAAAUGGUGUCAACUAGCUGUUGGCCUUAUAAAAGAGGUUAGUAGCGCAGCAAACGCGAUAAGUUGACCGCCUGGGGAGUACGGUCGCAAGAUUAAA
Molecule: ribosomal RNA, 376 nt
Filed under: uncultured bacterium
Lineage: Bacteria
Description: bacterial SSU rRNA
Rfam family: Bacterial small subunit ribosomal RNA
Source: RNAcentral